Long non-coding RNA from Numida meleagris (helmeted guineafowl), 536 nucleotides. RefSeq lists it as uncharacterized. The transcript is spliced from 3 exons. NCBI's taxonomy places the organism in Eukaryota, Metazoa, Chordata, Aves, Galliformes, Numididae. The record is from RefSeq and is a predicted model, not a curated record.
CUUCCCUCGCUCUUCUCCAUGCCUUGGCCUCACUGUUCCCUUGGGUUUUCUGCUUGCCUUUGCUUCACUGGGAUUGGCAGAGAGGCAGCAUUCAUGGUGAUCUGCACCUCAACCCUAAGCUUAAUGGGAGCUCCAGAGGAAUAGACAAACGCUGUCGUCAUGGUUCCAGCCCCACGCUCUCCUAGUGCCGACUGCGCUGGCGACUCGGAGUGCAGCUCUGAAGAUGCACCGAGACCCUGCAGAUCCAGACCCUACUCGGACACCGUAGCGCUGCCGCCCCCUCCCCCGUCUCUCCCGUUUCUCUGGCCCCGUUUCCAAUCUAGUUGUGCCGUUGCAGGACUGGACGGCUGAAAGAAGGUAGGCCCUCGGAGCGCCGCACGCCGGGACCGGCACGGAGCGGCUCUGGGACGGGUGCGCUCGAGCCCGUGGAUCGUGCCCACAGCUGCACUCAGUGGCAGCGGAGAACUGCGGUGCUCCUGUUUGGUGCCGGAACUGCACGGAGAUCUGUGGCUCUCCAUGAAGUCAGCGUGAAACGG